GGAUUUCCCAACAUUUUCUCUCAUUUUUUUUUCUCUUUACAAAGAUGUGACUUCUCCUCUGUUACUGUUAGAGAACACCCGGGGCCGGAGCGCGUCUCUCUUCUUCUUUAUUACCGUUUAAACUGUGUGUGAAUGCGGCACCGGCAGGUCGGAGCCACAGAGAGGCUGGAAGCUGCCGUCUCUCGCGCUCUGAGCGCCACCUACAGGCGACAGUCGGCACGUGAGCGAGGCAGAGCUCGAGCUCAGCUUGGAGCACGGGCUUUCCCCGCCACUGUGGAGCAGAGGCAGCAGGGGAAACAGAACAAAAUGGAGUCUGUAGUGGAGAAUACCGUGGUAUUUAUUGGACGUUGUGGCUGUUAUUACUGCAAGAGAACGCAGCAUGAGGUGGAUGGAGGCUGUUAUCCAAAGCUCUGAUACCACACACAACACAUAUGGAUUCUGGUUUUGCAUAUGGCUGCUUCAGUUUCAGUGCAUCUGCUCAGUGGGCCAAUCCAAAUGCAUCAUUCAGAGAGAAAUAAAAAGACCAUCUUUAAAAAUUCACCUUUACCGUUAAUAAAAUCUCCAUCCUGUCAAGU
Molecule: long non-coding RNA, 575 nt
Organism: Lates calcarifer (barramundi perch)
Lineage: Eukaryota; Metazoa; Chordata; Actinopteri; Centropomidae
Exons: 2
Source: RefSeq, a predicted model, not a curated record